RNAcentral lists this ribosomal RNA (369 nucleotides) under uncultured Lactobacillus sp. RNAcentral describes it as "bacterial SSU rRNA". It matches the Rfam family "Bacterial small subunit ribosomal RNA", at positions 182 to 525 of the family's 1533-position model. The record is from RNAcentral. Lineage: Bacteria; Bacillati; Bacillota; Bacilli; Lactobacillales; Lactobacillaceae.
GAUGAUGCCUAUCAACUGUUUAAAGUAUGUUCUGCUAUCACUCUUGGAUGGACCUGCGGUGCAUUAGCUAGUUGGUAGGGGUAACGGGCCUACCAAGGCGAUGAUGCAUAGCCCGAGUUGAGAGACUGAUCGGGCCACAUUGGGACUGAGACACGGGCCCAAACUCCUACGGGAGGCAGCAGUAGGGGAAUCUUCCACAAUGGACGCAAAGUCUGAUGGAGCAAAACGCCGCGUGAGUGAAGAAGGGUUUCGGCUCGUAAAAGCUCUGUUGUUGGUGAAGAAGGACAGGGGUAGUAACUGACCCUUUGUUUGACGGUAAUCAAUUUAGAAAGUCACGGGCUAACUACGUGCCCAGCAGCCGCGGUAAAU